AUGGGAUAACUUUACCACUCUAUAUAUGAAAUAAUAAAACUCAUCAAUAAAUACACUUUUCAAUUACAUGCACUAUGUUCUCUAUUAUAUUCAACAAAAAAAUACAUAUAAUUUUGACAACUGUAUUUUCAAUCAUAUUUAAUUCUACUUUAUUUAUAAUCAUACUUGAGCCAAAACUACGCCAUAAUGGCUUUGUUUUGCGCAAAAAUCUUCCUAAU
Molecule: long non-coding RNA, 218 nt
Filed under: Ananas comosus (pineapple)
Lineage: Eukaryota; Viridiplantae; Streptophyta; Magnoliopsida; Poales; Bromeliaceae
Description: long non-coding RNA (ACOM_LNC044659)
Source: RNAcentral